UUGCAACUACUUAGAUUUCACCCAACAAUUUCCAGGUAAGGGAGGUGAAUCACUAGGAUUACUUAAGUACCAAGCCUUGUCCUUGCCAAAAUUGUUCUAGGCUACUUACUUAGUUGUUGUUACUCAAAGAUGACUUUUAUGAUCACAAAAGAUGACUCAAAUAAUCAAAGAAAAUGCUAGGACUCUAAUGUCGGACUCUAAGGUUUCCUAACGUAAAUUCAAAAACUUAAAAGAAAUGUAAAUGGAAAAGUGAGGUCUCCUAGGUGAGGAUUGGAACUUUGGAACCAAGACACACUCACCGUCUACCAAUUUUUAGAUUAAUCGGUCCAAUCGGUGUUUCCCUGUUCGAUUUAGGGUUUUCCCUUCAUUUAGGGUUUCCGUGAGUUCUACCUUGCAUUCGGUCNGAUUAGGUUCUAGAUCGUUUUCUCCUUCGAAUAUAAUCCAUUCCGCUNCGUCAUUCAUCGUCGAAGAAGCUUCGAGGAGUCCGCAUCAUCUCUCGGUCAAUCUCCUUCGAGGCUNUCCCGUAUCAAGUGGUAUUCAGAGCUCGGUUCGAGCACGCGUCAACAGCUAAGUAUCUCUGAUUUUUGUUUUCAUUGUUUCUCGUUUUUUUGUUUCAGUUUGAUUCGGUUUUGUCGAGUUCAUUAUGAUUCUGAGUUUCUGUGUUGUUUUGAUUCUCGUUUCUGUCUCUGUUUCAUUUUGUUUUGUCUGAAGUUCAUAUGAUUUUGAUUCGCGUUUUUGUCUCGGUUUGAUCUUGAUUCCAUGUAUCUUGUACUGUUUCUUUCCAUUUACNCGUUGUCAUUAUCUUCUUUGAAUGUCUUGAUUUGUUUGUGUUGUAUUCUCUGAAUGAGAUUCAAUGUGUUUGUGUUUUGAAUAUNUCCUCAUAUCUGUUUAGGUUUCCGAGUUGUGUUGUCCUGUGUUUUGAGUCCUUUCCAUCAUUUUAUUCGGUCAAAUUGUUUUGUUUGAGUCUUUAUUUCUGAUAAUCUGCAUUCUGGUUUUGUUAUGAGUUUUGUGCAUUGAUUUAAUCGGUGCUUUGCUUAAAUUGUCAAUCAAAUCUGAGUUUAACUAGUUGUUGCUCGUAUUUUGUGAUUCAUUUGAGUUUCCUGCACUGAGUAAGUUCUGUACACCAUAUAUAAGCUAUGACAUUUGGAUAAAUGAGCUUAGUGGCAGAUUUCAGUGGUAGUGAUAAUGAAUCUCCUGUUCGUGAAUCUGUUUUGAUCUUUGCAACAAUACAAUCAGUUUUAAUUUUGUUUGAUUGAAGUCUGGUUAUGAAGUUGAGCUACUGUCCAACAGCAAGUGCAUACUGCAAAGAUCAAUGAAAGGCAUAGCCUAGAUCAAUUGCACAUUGUGAAAACAGUUUAGCAUAUUCUGCAGUUGACCGAUCUGCACAUUCAUUGUGAGUCCUGUUCUUUAGUGUUUUAAAUCUGGUUUGAACAUCUUACUCUUUGCAAACCAUCCAGUAUGUAUCUCUGCUAUUUUGAGCAACUUUCAUUUGUUGUUUUGAGUCCUGUGAUUUGUUCACAUGUUGUUUCCAUAUCUGAGUCAAAUUUUGGUUGGUUAACCUGCUUACAUUGAGUAAUUUGGGGGCUGACUAAGUGAAAAUNUGAGAUAGUGUGUUUCUGCAUCAAGUUGUUUUACAAACAAGUUUGUUUUAGUGAUUUGAAACUGAUGAUGCAAGGAAACCACGAAUUAUAACUGCCCAACCAUUUUAACUNUUUACACCACCAAAUUUUUGGCAGUUUUUUUCAUUAACAAGUUGCUGGUUUGAUUGAUUACAUCUNAGGUCUGUGUGGUGCAUCUACAUUUGUGUAAACUUGCAGCAAAAGCUUGGUUCCUGUGUGAUAUCUUAAAUACACAAUUCAAAAGCAACAUUUCAGUCAUUUAAAAAAAAAAAGAAAAAGAAAAGAAGCUGAAAGACCAGUGCAAGUUCAAAUUUGAAAACUGAUGCAACCUAGACUAACUUUUCUUAAACAUCUCAGCAACUUCUUAUUGUCUUUUUAUUGCUUUUAAUUCUGUUCUAGUGCCAAUCAUAGGAUCUGUUUGAGUGCCUCCUUUCUUGAAAGCUUUGUUUCUUGCUUGUUUUAAUUGAUAACUCUGGUUUUGCCCAUUACAAGUGCAAUCUUUUCUGCUGUUCUUAAUUGAGCUUUCUUUGCUUUUGUAAUCUGGUCUAGUGUUCUUUUGAGUCUGUUGUUCUGUGGUGCUGUCAUUUCUAUGCUUUAGUAGCUGUCCUGUUUGGUAGUGUCCAUUAUCUUGAUCUUUGCCUAGACAUUUCCUUUCAAUGACUGAGAAACACUUUCACUCUGGUUUCUGGAAAAUUUGAGAAAGGUAUUUGUGAAUGGUAGCAUCCUAGGUGGUGGAGAUCCACAGGAUUAUCUGGUCUUGACUGAAAAUUGUUCCCAAACCUACCCUUGAGUGUGUUAGAGAGUACCUUGAGUUGUGAGUCUUGUAAGGCUGCAUUAGCCUAAUUUCCUUGGCAAAUUUGUGAGCGAAAAUUGGCCUUCAGUUAACUGUUGCUAACUAUUUUAUGACUGAUCAUUAUGCAGGAAAUUGAAGGAGCAAACAAUUGUGAUUGUUUGAAACUGCCACAUGCAGAUUUCCGUUAUUUUCGAGAAAUUGAUUGAUUGUACUAGCUGAAUUGUUCUGUUUUGCUUGUGAAAAUUGUUACUGCACACACUGUUGCAUUCAUCUUAUAAUCUAUUUUCUGACUCAUUGAUCUAAUCCCUGUUUUGAAAAUGAAUGGUGAUUUCAUGGUUUAAUUAGACAUGUGGAAUGCUGAAUCUUGAGUUAAUAAGAUCUGUUUGAACCUGGUAGAUACAUUAGGAAUUGCUAAUAAUGUGCUGAUUGUUUUAUGAGCAUUUCUGGAAUUGCAUCAACUUGAUCUAACUUCCCAUGAUUAAUUUUUACGUUGAGUCACAUCCAAUCUGAGAUCUAUUUCACUGUCCAUUGUACUUGCUGGAUUAUGUUUUGACUUGUAUGAAGAAUUGAUUUUCCUGGAAUUGUUGAUUAAAUCAGUCUGGUUCAGUUUUGAGUUGCCCCUAUUUGCAUCUGGUUUAAUAUUUGUGUUCAUGAGCAUCUUUUACUAGCAUUGGUGUAUUUUAUGUGCAGAGUUGGACUAUUUGGAAUCAAUACUUUCUCGAGUAUACCACAACAACGACACUUCAGUUUAGAGCUUGGAGCAAGCCUGAACAACCAUUUAAUUAGGGGAGUUGCUUAGUUUUCUUACCUCUGGAUUGUUUAAUUGUUUCUGUCUUAGCUUGAAAUUGAUAGCAUUGAUGGUUGCUCUGCUGAAAUGAGUGUGAAUAUCUGAUUGCUGAUUCAUUAAUAUACCCAUGGUUUUUGAACGGAAGUGUUGUUUUCAUGGUUUAAUUGGGCAUGUUGAAUGUUGAAUCUGAUUUGAAAAGCUGACCAACCAGUUUAUUAUUACACAUUCCAUUUUAUCACUGGUUUGGUAUUUUGAUCUGCACCAUCAGUCUGAUAUUAUAUGUAUGCCGAAUUGGAUUUGCUAAGACCUAUUGGAACUUGGUAAAUGAGUUAUGAAUUUGCAGAUACUGUGUUGAUUAGUUUGUAAGCAUUUCUGGAUUGCAUUAACACUGUUUCACUGCCAACAUUUCAUUCAGUCUUACAACAGUGACUAAAGCAUUUCAUUUCCAAUUUUUAAUUUCAUGAUUGAAUGAUUUAGAUCACUAGAGUCUGUACUGCAUCAUAUCAUUCUUGUCUUUGGAUAGACCAAUUUAGACCAUGAAUUUUGAUUAGUUUGAAUUGAUGAUUGAACCAGUUCAGUCUGUGUUGAGAAUUAUCUAUAAAUUGAAUCUGGGUCAAUGUCCGUUAACAUUCAUAGUUGAUGAAUUUUGGUGUGAUUACUGUGUACAACAGUGUUUUGUUUUGAAUCAUUAGACAACAUUAGAACAUGGCAGAAUCUUGGAUGUUAGUGUAUCAAUUACAAGAAAACAACAGCAUGAGCACUUUUUGUGGAAGUUCUGACCUGAAGAAUUUAUUUGCUGAAUCAUCCGUGUAGCAGUAGGACCAGGACAACAGCAACAUCUGUAGCAGUGGCAAGCUUGUGCAGUUACGAGAAAGGGAAGUUUACUGCCCUAUAUCUUCUUCUGCCAUCUGUUUUCAUUAAGUGAAUCCUCACAGCAAUUUUGUACAUACGUGUUUGUAGGCUUGAUCCGAAGCUAAUACCAAGUUAUCCAUCCAGCAACAACAAACUGACGCAGCAGAUUGAGACAAGUGACUGUUUCAACUAUUUUGAACAGAGAUUUGAUCAAGAGACAAUCAAAAGUGGAGCACGUGAAGGUGGGCAGCAAAAGACCGUAGCACUAUAGCAUAGGAUUCAGUUCUUUUGUAUUUUUUUUUUCCUUGUAUUUUUCAUGGGCUUGUGUUUAGUCCACUGUUAGUCUUAGCUUGUGUUUGUAAAUGGCCUUUUAUAAAGUCCAAGUAUUUGGAAGAGUCCUUGGUGCUCUUUCCAAAUCUUGGCAACUUUAAUUGCUUUAAUUUUAGCAUAGCUAGACAUAGGAGUAGAAUUUGAUUGUCUUGCAUGUGUGUGAUUUUCACGUGUAGGUGUGACCUUGUCACAUUAGAGUCCGAAAACGUUUUAGGGUUUUAAAGUCCGAUUGUCUUUGUUUGUGUGUACUUUGAUUUUAAAAGUAAUUUUACUUUAAAGGGUAUUUAGUGAGUAGCACAAAACAAAUCUGGCAAGGCAAAGACUUGGUACUUAAGCAACCCUAGUGGUUCACCUCUCUUACCUGGGAUUUGUCAAGUGUGAAAUCUUUAAAUCCUUUAGAUUAGAAGAACUUUUAAGAACAAAAAUGUCUUGUUAUUCAUAUAGUUCCUCUAGUUCAUUUAGUUCAUCUAGGAACUUUAAUUUUGAUAAGCCCAUUAGUCUUAAAGAAUGAUAAAGCUAGAAGGAAGACUUGUUCAUCUCAUGAGUUUGAUAGGAUUAAGGAUACUUUGUAUAAACAAGCUAGGGAAAAUAUUCCUUUCUUUGGUGAGGAUAUUGGUGCAUAUACUUAGCUUGGGAAAAGGAAAUUGAUGACAUGCAUUUUUUUAUGGUUAGAAGAAGUCAAUCUGACUCUUAUUAUUCUCGUGACUGUGAAUCAUAUAUCAUGAAUCUUUACAUUUCUAGAUUUGAAGGGUAUGCAAGAGAGUGGUGGGACGAGAGAGAAUAUCAUGUUACCAUAGGUAGAAAAUCUCCCAUCAAUGAUUGGAAUGAAUUGAAAGGUUGUUUGAGAAAAAAAUUUGUGCCUCUAGAGAUUCAAAGAAAUUUACAACUUAUGAGAGAGUUUAUUAAAGGAGGCAAGUCAUUCAUUCAAAAUUUAAGUGGAUUCUAUCAAAGGGAAACAGAGUUUAGAGACAAUAUAGGUAUAUAGGUAUGGGACUAUACAGUUGAAGGAUAUCUUAAAGGAAUUGAUUUGGCUACCCAUAUCACCAAAAUGCAUUUACUUUUCGGAAGCCUAACCCAUAAGAACUCCAUGGUUAAGCGUGCUUAGCCUGGAGAAAUUCUGGGACGNGUGACCUUCCGGGAAGUUUUCCCGGAAAGUGUGCGAGUGAGGACAAAGCACACUGGAAAGUCUCAUGGUGAUGUGUGGGGGCAGUCAACAGUCCCUGUAAGUUGCCGGGGUGUGACAGAAGGAGUUUUGUAGGAUUGGGUAUUAUAUUGGAAGGCGCAAAAUUGAUGUCCAGAUCGUAUACAAAUCUUUUAGAUUUGGCCUCUGGGAAUUUCUCGACAAUGGGGAAGGCGCAAAGAUGAUGUCCAGAUCGUGUACGCUGUUUGUUCUUCACCUUGACACCCCAAUUUAUGAAGCUUGCACCAGGAAGUUUAAUCCUAAAUCGCGAUUUUUCUUCUAACCCUAACCCCAAUUUUUUUUAACCUCUCUUUCUCACAGUACACAUCAAUAAUAACAUUUUAAUUUUAUUUUCACACAUCAAUAAAGUUGAAACUGCCACACAAUCAAUUAAAACUAACAUGUCAUUAAUCUUAGUCCAGGAGGGCAACUCUAACGUUAAAUUUUUAGCAGUGUUAGCCAAAAGGAUUAACUUUGACAGUUUUUUCAAAAAGUGGGAUGAAUUGUUACUUUUUAAAAAAAGUAGGACGAUUUUGAACAAAACCCCUCUUUCGAAGGACCAAAAUAGGUAUUAAGCCGAUAGAGAAAAGGUAAAUGCAUAUCAAUGUAAAAAAGAAAAAAAAAAUAAAAAAAAGGUAAAAUAGUGAGGUUCAGGCACCUGUGUUAUGCAAUUAUUAUUAUGUUACAUUGUGUGUUGAAUCUAUUGGAGAAAGAAAGAGACUAUGGUGUCUUUCUAUGAACUGCGCACGGUAACGGCUUCUCACGGCAAGGGAAAAAAGGUUUUUGUUUUAUUUUAAUUUUCCUCGAAAUCGGUUCUGCUGCCACCAAACUUCCAUUUUAACUCCGGAAAUGGUCAUGAGGAGCACCAGAUCGGAGAAGGGAGAAUCGUUGGACGGUGAGAUCGGAUGGAGAGGUUGUGACAGUGAAAGACUAGUCGGGGAGCAUUGUCGAGAUCCUUGCGCCGAUGCUUAGGAGGCGGAGACUGGACGGGGAGAGAGGGAGCGACGUGAGGUGGAAGUGGAGCUGGCAGACGUGGCAUCGCCGUCUGCCACAUCAAUAGAAAAGUUAACUCCAUUUAUUUUUAAAAAUUAAUAUUACAUGUUUCAAUAUUACAAGGACUAAAUGCUAUCAAUGUUUUAAAUAAAGACUAAAAGUAAAAUCCUAUGAUACUUAAGGGAUAAAAUACAUAUUUAACCCAUAAAUAUAAGAUUACUUAAAUUUAAGUUACCUCAACUAAUUUAAUAAUUGACAUUUAUUUAAUUCUUAAUUAACCUUGGUAUAAGAGUCGUUCUUUAAAAUUAGGAAAAGACACGUAACAUUAUUAGCAUGAUUCUUUAAAUGGCAAGGGUAUCAAUUACACAAUAACAAGUAGUAAUUAAUUAUCAUAAAUGCUAGUGCAGUUUUGCAUUUUGACAUCAUCUUGUAUUUUUUGGUUUUCAGAAAACUGAAACAUAUAAAAACACAAUGACAAUUUUAAAACUUUUGUGAAUUUAUAGGUUUUUCUUAAUUCUAGGUGUCUAAUGCAUUGUUUCUAUAUCUUUGUUCAGUUUUCUUAAUUUUCCACUUAAUACUCGAAACAUUUGAAAGCCCAGUUAUAAUUAGUUUCGCACUCCUAGGUUCAUAAUUUUUUUUUUAAUUUUUGUUAUACAUGUUUUUAAUAUAUUUUGUAUAUUUAUAUUAAAGUAUUUUUUUAUGUGUAAUGUAUUUCUUUUUUAUGUUUGAUAUAUGUUGCAUCGUUUAUUUUUUUUAUAAUUUGUAAUAUACUUAUAUUUUGUUUAUCCCAUAUUGUUAUUCAGUUAAUUUUAAUUUUUCAUUUGAUAUUUAAAUUCCAAGUUUUACGAAAAAAUGGAAUUUUAUAAAGACACGUACACACAUGACUUGUCACAUUUUGGACAAGUUAUUAUGAGUUGAAACUCCAUUAAUAAGUAGUUGUUUUCUUGAAAAGUUUAAAGUGGAUGGUAAAGUUUAAAUAUUAUAAAGUUGUCCAAAAAUAUCAGUGUCUCUCACAUUAUUUUAUGGAUAAUGUUUCUUUAACGAUGUUCAUUUAACAACAAAUUGAUAACGACAUGUGUCGUUCUGUCAUUUGUUGUUUUAAAUAAUUUUUUCAAAAAGAUAAAAUGAGUUUUUGAGGGUACUUUUGAAAAGUAAAAAGCUCUGUUGGCACUUUCACCAUUUUUUUCAUUCGAAACUCUCUCUCAUCAGUUUCGUCAUUCUCAACUCUCACUCCAUCAUUUUCAACUCUCGCUCCACCAUUCGAAACUCUCGUUCCACUAUUCUCAACUCUCGCUCCACCAUUCGAAACUUUCGUUCUACCAUUCAAAACUCUCGCUCCACCAUUCGAAACUCUCGCUCUAUUCGAAACACUCGCUCCGCCACCGAGGUCGUCUUUCUUCAUCGUUGUUCGUUGGUGCUUGGGUCCACCUAUUCUCUGGAAGAAGUCGUUUGUCUUUGUCCGCCAUUGAAAUGCUAGGAGGAAGUCUCGCUUGGGGCCACCAAUGACGUCUUUUGGAUUAAUAUAGCAUUAGAAAUGUUUUGUUUGUUUUGAUUCUGAUUUUAUACCAAGUGAAUAGACAUUGUAUACAAGUAUAAUGUUGAAAAUUUUUACACAUUUGUACAUAAUUAUAGCAAAUCAAUACACCUAAACUAUUUUUGAUUAAUUCUUCUUGAAAUUCGUUUUCUUUCUUUGUGUUUUUGGUUGAGUGAGUUUAUUCAUUAUGGGUCAAAUUUGAUGUGCCCCUGUACUGAUGAGGAGUUGGACUGGUAAUCGCUUACCUCCCUUUCCAGAAAAAAAAAUUGGCAUUUUGUACCAAAACUUGAGGGUUGCUACCUAGUCCUGGUUGAAGAGCUCCCAAUGAGACCUUAAGCGUGUUAUUUAAUACAAGUCUUGUUGUGAGGAAGAGUCAGAAUGACACUUAUGUGCCUGUGUAAUCGAUUACAGAGUGGUUGUAAUCGAUUACCAGUGGAAAAACAGAAAUUUGUACCAAAAGUUCAACGUUGCUCCCAUGCUUUGGUAGAGGCGCUCCCAAGUGCGUGUUUGGUCCUAAGUUGGUGAGAUUUUUUGAAGGAUGUUGAGUUAAAAGGUUGAUUUUCAUGACCAAUGACCUGUUGCAUUAGUAUAGACAUGGUUGGUUAGUAUUUCAUACAAGUGUUGCUGUGAGGAAGAGUCAGAGUGACACUUAUGUGCCUGUGUAAUCGAUUAUAGAUUGGCUGUAAUCGCUUACCAGUGAAAAAAUAGAAAUUUGUACUAAAAGUUCAAUGUUGGUCCCAUGCUUUAGUAGAGGCGCUCCCAAGUGCGUGCUUGGUCAUAAGUUGGUGAGAUAUUUUGAAGUUAUUGUUUCAUGUUUGCUAUUUUAGAUGGGUGAGACUUUAAUGGUCAUGAGUGGUCUUUAGUGCAUCAAUGAACAUGUUAGGUCAUUGAAUUGUUCAGAAAAAAUGUCAUUUAGGAGCUUUCAUUUAAGUUAGAUGAGCUCCAUAAGCAUGUCUUGCCUAAAACUGGACUUUCAUUCACAAUGAACAUGACAAAUUUCGGUUAUGAAUGACAUUGAAAUGGAAUAAAAAUUGUUCAUAAACUCAAAAUUGAUGAAUGAUCAACAACGAUGACUAACAACAAUUCAAAUGAAAAUGACAAUAAAAAAGGGAAUAACCUACAUCUUUAUUAACAUUCAAAAUAUUGAUUACAAUACAAUUACAUUUACAUAUGUCUACAUUGAUCUGCUACUGCCAAUAAUCACUACAUACAAAAUUCACUCAUGUUUUGGACUAUGUCCAAUGUACGGGGUUCUAUAAGCUUUAUUCUUGUAACACUUUCGUCAUCAUUCCUUCAUAAGGUUAUUUUUGACGUGUUGAUUUUUUUUUCCUUCAAAUCCUCUCCAAUUGUAUUAGCUUAUGCUUUUACAGAGAAGUAACAAAUUUCUUUGCUAGAUGCACCAAGAUCAUCAAUGAACUGAAAUUUAACAAAAAUUACAAUUGUAUAAAACCAUUAAAGGAAAUUCUAACAAUAAAGGAAAGGGCAAAAACCGAAACGAGAUAGGGGAAAACCAAAGGUCAUAUGGCAUAUACCUUGCUCUCACCGGACAAUUCCAUUUCGCGCAAUACAAUGUACAUAAUCAAACCAUAAAGGUGAGACCUUGAACAAACAAAAGAGAGCUUUCUUGUAUCAAGUACCCAAAAACCCAAAAACCCAAAACGAUUAUAUGAAGGUUGUAAUCAAUUACUAGUAGAUAAAUGUGAUAAAUGCUUGAUUGUUGGCAAUAACUAUUGUCCAAUUAGUUGGGCACUUUUUGCUUCACCUGUUCAUUAAAGAUUCGUAACAAAAGUCAAGUAGAACUGAAUACUUACGAAGCAAAAAGUAGUCCAAUAAGGACAAAUAUCAAUAGCAAACUAUAUACAAUAAAUUUAAACACACUUAAACUUGACAGGGAGAUUUAUGAACGGAUCAUUUAUUACUAAAACUUAAUCCGAAUAAUGGCACUUUGAGAAUUUUAUAUUGUGAUCAUAAUCCAAAAAUUCAAAGCUUUAAGUUUUGAAUCAAGUUCUAUUGAUAUUCAAGUCAUCCAACAUCACAAACAAGCUUAAUAUUAAACAUAGAAAUUUAAAAUUUCACAUGAUUUUUCCAAGAAUUAGUAAUUGACUUAAUAAAUAACAUCCAACAAAUGUCAAAACCCAUAACCCAAAUCGAAUAUGGGACAAAGACAAAGUUCAUACCUUGUUUGAAAAACCAAUGUAACUUGACAAACCGAUCGCACAAAAAAGGUAAGAACUUUGACAAAAUCGACACCCAAUGAGACAAGCAUAAUCUCGAACUUAAGAGAGAAACCCAACGACGAAGGAAAUUCCUCAAGAUCCACAGAGAUUGCUCAAUCACCACUUCAACGCCUUCAAAAACUGGAGACAGAGAAGGAGAAUCUGAAAUAUGGAGAGAGAGAACUUCAAAGCAAAACGAAAACCUAAAAUGAAGAGAGAGACUUUCCAAGGAGAAAGAGUGCUGAAAAGGAACGAGGAUGUUUUCGGAAUAACAAAAAGUGUCCCUUUUCAAAUAUUUUUUUAAUAAAAAAAAUAUAAAAAAAUGGACCAAUACAACGCUGACACAUGGCGUUGUCAAACUCGUUGUCAAAUUCGCGUUGUUAAUAUAUCGCGAUCCUUAUUUUAUUUCUAAAUUUGUUGUAUGCUGAUUUCUAUUACUGAAAAAUGGCAAAUGCAUCUGUUGCAUAUAACAACCAAUAAAUAUUAUCUCAGAGAGAUCUCUGAAAUAUAUGAUAACUAUCACAAUUCAUAAUUCAAUUAAACAACAAAGUCAAAAAGAAUAUAAUUUUUUUUUUGUAGUCUAUCAAACAAUUGAUGUAUAAAAGGAAAUUAACAUAAAAUAUUUACAAAUGUUAAUACUAUUAUAUAUAUAUAUAUAUAUAUAUAUAUAUAUAUAUAUAUAUAUAUAUCAAUUUCAAUUUUUUCUUAAAAUCAACUUUCAAUAUUACUUAAAUCCUAUUUCUAGUAAUUUUAAGUUUAUGAUAUAAUUCAUCAGAUUUUAAUUUCUUAAAUAUUCAAGAAGCAAUUAUACAUUAAAUUAAGAGUCUUAAAAUCAUUAAGAAAACAUGUUUUAUCCUUAGAUACAACAUUAAGUAUUAAUUUCAAUUCUAAAUCUAAAAGACAUUUUUUAAAUUUUUUAAUGUUUCAAUAAUCACAACUAAAUCAUGAAUAACCAAGUAUGGAAGACCAUAUGAGAUAAGGAAGCCGAGAUUUUGACACUCUUUGUUUGACACAACUUUAACAACGUCACGUGUCAGCCUCUGAUUGGGCGAUUUUUUUUUUAAAAAAAAAACCAACAAUGUGACGUCAUUUAUGAGAUGCAAAUUUGAAAAUUUUGUUUCCAUCUAUGCCCUUGCCCAGAUUCAUGUGAAUGGAAUUCUCUUUCUUUGCUGCUUCAUCAGAAAAAGAGUUCCUCCGAUAACUUCUUUCUCUUCGCCAACGCUCUAUGGAAAUCGUUUUGGGCUUCUUUUUCGCCAUUUGAUUGUCGUCGUUGUGGUUGCAGUGGUGGUCUUCCUUAUCGGUGUGGGUGUGGCGGUGAUUGGCUCUUUUCGUUCUUGGUGUGUUCGUGUUGCGAAAUGACGAGUUCUUCUACCAGGGUAAGGGCGUUGUACUGUGGGUGUUGUUGUUUAUGGUGUGGUGUAUGGAGUUUGGGUUUUGUAUGUCUUUUAUGAUUUAGGGUUUUUAAGUUUGGGUUUUUGCAAUGUGUGUGCAGUUGACGAUUCGUCACUCAGUUUCCACAAAGUUCAUCUCUGGUUUGAACAAACGUUUGAGUAAGGAGCACCGUUCAUUGGUUGCCGACACUCCGUUUGGGUGGUUUUUAGAUUUGACUGGUAAUGUUAAAGUUGGUAGGAAAAUGUUGAGUGAGUUAGUGUUUAAAUGGGUGGAUUCAAGUAGUGGUUUUUUAAUUGCAGAGAAACUUGUGCCUAUAAAUGAGAAAGAUUGUUUUUUAGGUUUGGGUUUGAGUUUAGAUGGGAAAGAGAUAGAUUUAAAGGAAAAAAUGGGACGAAGUAGAUGUGUGAAAUACAUUGGCAAUAAAACAAAAAAUUUGAAUUUGCUAUACAAAUGUAUGAUGAAGAAAGGAAAAAGCAUUCCUUGUGCUCCUUUUUGUAGCUUGUACAUAUUGCUUGGUAUUUGUGAGAUAUUAAUUCCACAGCGUAAUGGGAGAGUGUUUCCCAUAUUAUUUGAAAUUGUUGAUAAUUUAAAUGAUUUGGGAAAAUAUUGCUGGGCUAGUUUAAUGUAUAGAUUUUUGGUACGUGGUUUGAACAAAGCUUCAGAUGCAUUGAAGAAAGGAAAAGCCACAACGAACGUUUAUGUCGAUGGUUGUAUUUACAUGUUGCAAGUAAGUUAUGUUUAUUCAUUUUCAAUGUGGAAAUUCAAUUUGGUCUUGUUGCUUCCAUUCAGUUUUUGAGUAACAGUUAACAUGAUAUAUUUUUGUGUAGGUUUGGUUUUUUGAGAAAUUGAUUCCUCCCAAAGGUGCUAUAGAAAAAAAUCCAAGAAUAUUGCAUUGGAUGAAUUUAAAAUUGGGAGACAACCUAGUAACAGGAGCUUUGGAAACUGGUGUGGUAAGUUGUUUGAGUGAUUAUUGUUAUUAUAAAUAAAUGUGUUCUUAGUAUGGUUUGAAUUGUUGAAUUUCAGGUUAAUGUUGAUGUUGAUGUUGAUCUUGGUACAAUGAAGGAUGAGAAUGACUUGAAGGAUCAAGCAAGAGGAAAAAAUAAAGAUGAAAAGGCAUCAACAAAGAAGGAACUUAAGAAAAAUCGCAGAGAGCGGUUUUUGGAAAGUUUACUUGAGCAACAAAGUCUUGUUGCAGAACUUAAAAGGAGGGUUCUUGUGUUGGAGGAAGAGGUGGCAUUUGAGAAACGUAGACGAAGAAGACCACAAAAUGGUGGACACAAUGUGGCACAUGAAGAACUGUCCAUAUCCCAUGGAGGCAUGAGUCCG
This 13022-nucleotide long non-coding RNA is filed under the name Vigna radiata. RNAcentral's name for it is "long non-coding RNA (VRAD_LNC002553)". The record is from RNAcentral. Lineage: Eukaryota; Viridiplantae; Streptophyta; Magnoliopsida; Fabales; Fabaceae.